GCUGUCCAGAUUACGAGACAAUUUGAAGCGUUACUUUCUUUUCUAAGUGCUGCUGUUCUACAACCAUAAUGUCCCUGGGAAGAGUUUAAGUGGCUCACUACCUUCUUACACUCGUGUUCACCUUUAAUAUCUCAUUCUUGUCCCAGGUGUUACCAGGCAGUUUAUAAAUGGUUGUCAAAAGCAACUUCUGAGUCUUGCUACUGGCCACAGCAGAGGAAAGGAUUGCAGUGGGGGAGAGGGAUAUCCUCGUCUGCUAUCCCAUUCAAUCUUCCUUCCCAGUUUUUCAGGCAGUUUUGCUGCCUAAACAUUAAUACAUAUCCUAGUUAUCCAGAAUGGACCGCGUUUUGUAACCUCUCACUAAUGAGCAUAGCAGAAAUGGAAAUUAAAGAGCAGUUCCUGAUGCCGCCGUGUCUGCUGGCAGCAGGCAGGUUUCUCUCUCAUCACCAGAAGUGUUUCAGAAACUUCCCUUUAAAAAAAAAAAAAAAAAAAAAAAAAGGAUGGCAAUUAAUUACCACGGGGUGGUUUUAAUGUGUGCUUUUAGUAACUUUGCAGUGAAGCCAGGCUUGAUUAUUUUCAGAUGCGGGAGCCCGUUGCCCAGCAGAGGGAGCACAGUCUGCCUGCGGACCCUGUGCAUGGGCAGAAGCGCUCAGAAAGACUUCCUCAGCCCAUACAGCAGGCAAAAAUGGGAACAAACACACUUUUCCUCUAAAGAAAACGUAAGAAGUUUGCUGACCAAGUUGAGUGGAGAGGUAUUCUGAAAACUGGGAAACCAUCUUAAAGAAAAUAUUCUCAUGUAGUGAAUGGUAAACAGCAGUGUUCAAGUAUCCUCUGAAAGUGCUGACACAAAGCACAGGACAAACAAGCCUCUGGAUCUCAAUGAAUGGACUUCCAAAAUCCUUCACUGCUUAUAGCAAGGAAUGACCCAAAGAGCAAGGAAGAAAACUGACUGCAGAACACAAAGCACAAAUCAGCCUGGUCCCAUAUCUCUUGUAGAUUUUUUUCUGCUGGAUACAACUACCUUACCUAGGCUACCUAAACAGUAUUGCCUAGCUUGAUAAAAUACAUCACUUGAGCUAUGGAUCUGGUUCUAUGAAAUUCUGCUUGUUUUUUUUUUUUUUUUUUUUUUUCUCAGUUCUCAGUCAAGCAAGCUCAGAUUACCUCUAACUUCAGAAGAGAAAAGAGUUAGGCCAAAAGCUAUUGUGACAUGGGUCCCCUGCUUAUCAUUAUGAAUCUGAGGGUUUAGCAAUUAUCUCUCAUUAAUUUUUCAGUUUAUCAUUUUCACAGACCACUACUUGUUGAUCUGAUUCCCCAUAAAAGGCAAGCAUUCACUUCAUUUUGAAGAGAACAAACUGAACACCACACAGACCCAUAUUUGCCAUAGUUUUUUGCUGCUCUACCUGUUUUGCAACUCUCCUGCCUCAUUUCACAGGUUAGUCCAUCAUGACACAAAGAAAUAACCUUGUACACAGGCUGACAAUGAUUAUAUGGAGUGUAUAUUUUGUCUGCAGUAACCAGAAGUCAUUAAUGUUGGCAGCAUAUGACAAAUAACAUGGUCUCCCUCUGAUCCUUAGAGGGCAGAUACUGAAAUUUCGGAAACCCCCCUACUUUCAUAGUGCUAACCAUCACAUUUCUCCUGUGAAAGCCAGGGGAUGGGUGGCAUUCAGAUUUAGUUUCCCUGUCUGAGAAACUCUGUCUCCUUCUAGGUCCCGUGCUGCUAUUGGAUAAGUACAGAGGAGGUGGAAAGUUUGCAGGAUUACCUGGGAAUAAAGAAAUAAAGAGUUAUUUGCA
RNAcentral lists this long non-coding RNA (1788 nucleotides) under Anas platyrhynchos platyrhynchos (common mallard). RNAcentral's name for it is "lncRNA (ENSAPLG00000028178.1)". The record is from RNAcentral. Lineage: Eukaryota; Metazoa; Chordata; Aves; Anseriformes; Anatidae.